AUGCAGGCCAGGGGGCUCCUCUCACGCUCUGCCCUUCUCAGAGCAUGCCAGGGCUUCCUGAGCACUGCCCAGCAGCAGCAGCCUGCAGCAGGAGCUGCCCGCAGCAGCCCUCGUCCCUAUCCUGAGAUUCCCUCCCCAGGGGACAACGGCUGGUUCAAUCUGUAUCACUUCUGGAGGGAGAGUGGACCACACAGAAUCCACUACCACCACGUACAGAACUUCCAGAAGUAUGGCCCCAUCUAUAGGGAGAAGUUGGGCAAUGUGGAGUCUGUGUUCAUCAUUGACCCUGAAGAUGUGGCGCUGCUGUUUAAGUCCGAGGGUUCCAGACCGGAGCGGUAUCUCAUCCCGCCCUGGGUCGCCUACCAUGAGUACUACCAGAGGCCCCUGGGAGUCCUGUUUAAGAAGUCCGAGGCCUGGAAGAAAGACCGAAUGGCCCUGAACCAAGAGGUCAUGGCCCCAGGGGCCAUCAAAAACUUUGUGCCCCUCCUGGAGGCCGUGUCCCAGGACUUCGCCCGGGUCUUGCACAAGCGCAUUCAACGGGAGGAUUCCGGGGCCUUCUCAGGAGAUAUCAGCCACGACCUGUUCCGCUUUGCUUUUGAGUCCAUCACCAAUGUCAUGUUUGGGGAGCGCCUGGGGAUGCUGGAAGAGACUGUGGAUCCCGAGGCCCAGCGCUUCAUCGAUGCGGUCUACCAGAUGUUCCACACCAGUGUGCCCAUGCUCAGCCUGCCCCCCAGUCUCUUCCGUCUCUUCAGGACCAAGACCUGGAGGGAGCAUGUGGCCGCAUGGGAUGUGAUUUUCACCAAAGCUGACAAAUACACCCAGAACUUCUACUGGGACCUGCGGCAGAGGAAGGAGCUCGGGGACAGCUACCGUGGCAUCCUCUGCAACCUCGUGGGGAGCAGCAAGCUGUCCUUUGAGGACAUCAAGGCCAAUGUCACUGAGAUGCUGGCUGGAGGUGUGGACACGACGUCAAUGACCCUGCAGUGGCACCUGUAUGAGAUGGGGCGCUGCCUUAAGGUGCAGGAGAUGCUGCGGGCAGAGGUCAUGGCUGCCCGGCGCCAGGCCCAGGGAGACACAGCCGCGAUGCUGCAGUUGGUGCCACUCCUCAAGGCCAGCAUCAAGGAGACGCUGAGGCAAGUGCAGGCCCACCACACCUGCUGCCCUGCACCCUGGAUGGGCACAACCCUGGGGCAGAGGCUGGGUUGGGGGGAAGAAAUACAGCAAUCCUGGGCUCCUGGAGGAGCCUUCAGCAGAUGUGCAUGGGGGUUGCAGCAGGGGGCGUGGCCUGUGUCCUGGCCUGGGGCCAGUGGCUCCUGAACCCCAUCUCCAUCAGGCUGCACCCCAUCUCUGUGACACUGCAGAGAUACCUCGUGAACGACCUGGUCCUUCGAGAUUACCUCAUACCAGCCAAGGUGGGUACAGUCAGGGGCCCCGGGGCUCUGCCCAGGCACACAAGGCUCUCCGAAGACCCCAUGUUGAUGGGUGAGGCUUGGGUCCAGGCUGUUGGUAUCAGGUGGUCAGUGGCAGGGGUUGGGGGCAUCCCUACAUCGCUGGGUGCUGCGGGAAGGCCUCCCUCAGGCCUCUGCUCCUCUUUUCCUGCUACCUCCCACCCUUAGACGUUGGUGCAGGUGUCCAACUACGCCAUGGGCCGAGAACCCAACUUCUUUGACAACCCAGAGAAGUUUGACCCCUCACGAUGGCUAAGCAACGACAAGACCAUUACCCACUUCCGGAACCUGGGCUUCGGCUGGGGCCUGCGCCAGUGCCUGGGCCGGCGGAUCGCGGAGACGGAAAUGAGCCUCUUCCUCAUCCACCCCUGGCCUGAUCCUGGUUCCCUGCAGCCAGCUUGUCCAGCAGCCCACAGCUGGCAUCUACCCUCUCCCAGCCCCUGCCAGAGGUGGUGAUAGGAAGGGGGUGGGGCUUAAGAUCAAGUUCCAAGUACUG
Molecule: RNA transcript, 1944 nt
Organism: Ochotona princeps (American pika)
Lineage: Eukaryota; Metazoa; Chordata; Mammalia; Lagomorpha; Ochotonidae
Gene name: cholesterol side-chain cleavage enzyme, mitochondrial
Exons: 7
Source: RefSeq, a predicted model, not a curated record